Vigna unguiculata (cowpea) is the source of this 164-nucleotide small nuclear RNA. RefSeq annotates it as U1 spliceosomal RNA. Lineage: Eukaryota; Viridiplantae; Streptophyta; Magnoliopsida; Fabales; Fabaceae. The record is from RefSeq and is a predicted model, not a curated record.
AUACUUACCUGGAUGGGGUGAAUGAGUGAUCAAGAAGGCUCAUGACCUAGUGCAGUGACCUUCAUUGCACAAAGAAGGGAUGUUGUUCUAAGGUCUACCCUAGUGGUGGAGCCUACAUCAUAAUUUGUGGAAGCAGAGGGGGCUUGCGUCCGCGCAGUCUCUAU